UACGGGGGGUGCAAGCGUUGUUCGGAAUUACUGGGCGUAAAGGGCUCGUAGGCGGCCAACUAAGUCGGAUGUGAAAUCCCCAGGCUCAACUUGGGAACUGCAUCCGAUACUGGAUGGCUUGAAUUCGGGAGAGGGAUGCAGAAUUCCAGGUGUAGCGGUGAAAUGCGUAGAUAUCUGGAGGAAUACCGGUGGCGAAGGCGGCAUCCUGGACCGACAUUGACGCUGAGGAGCGAAAGCUAGGGGAGCAAACGGG
This 253-nucleotide ribosomal RNA is filed under the name uncultured bacterium. RNAcentral's name for it is "partial 16S ribosomal RNA". It matches the Rfam family "Bacterial small subunit ribosomal RNA", at positions 524 to 776 of the family's 1533-position model. The record is from RNAcentral.